This 67-nucleotide small RNA is filed under the name Pontibacillus yanchengensis Y32. RNAcentral's name for it is "Bacillaceae-1 RNA". It matches the Rfam family "Bacillaceae-1 RNA". Lineage: Bacteria; Bacillati; Bacillota; Bacilli; Caryophanales; Bacillaceae. The record is from Rfam by way of RNAcentral.
AAUCAAGGAAGGUCGAGUAAGUUCACUGCAUCCUGAAGCAAACGCGACCGUCCUCACGUCGUGUGAG